GAGUCUGUGGGUGAUCGAAACCCGAUGGCGAAAUGAAAGUGAAGGGAACUUUUUGGUUGCUGAGGUGAGAAGCUCGGCCGUCGUGGCCAAGCCGCAUCAUCGACCGACCUGUUCUAAUCUUAGAAAGGUUUGAGUAAGAGCGUAGCUGUUGGGACCCGAAAGAUGGUGAACUAUGCCUGAAUAGAGUGAAGCCAGCGGAAACACUGGUGAAAGCUCGUAGCGAUUCUGACGUGCAAAUCGAUCGUCAAAUUUGGGUAUAGCGGCGAAAGACUAAUCGAACCAUCUAGUAGCUGGUUCCCUCCGAAGUUUCCCACAGGAUAGCUGGGACUCCACCGAUGCAGUUUUAUCGGGUAAAGCGAAUGAUUAGAGGUCUUAGGGUCGAAAUGACUUUAACCUAUUCUCAAACUUUAAAUUGGUAAGAAGUCCGACUUGCUCGAAUGAAGCCGGACAAUGGAAUGCGAGUCCUUAGUGGGCCAUUUUUGGUAAGCAGAACUGGCGAUGCGGGAUGAACCGAACGUCGCGUUAAGGUGCCCAAGUCGACGCUCAUCAGAUCCCACAAAAGGUGUUGGUCGAUAUUGACAGCAGGACGG
This 590-nucleotide ribosomal RNA is filed under the name Pleurocorallium porcellanum. RNAcentral describes it as "partial 28S ribosomal RNA". It matches the Rfam family "Eukaryotic large subunit ribosomal RNA", at positions 688 to 1248 of the family's 3401-position model. The record is from RNAcentral. Lineage: Eukaryota; Metazoa; Cnidaria; Anthozoa; Scleralcyonacea; Coralliidae.